GACGAACGCUGGCGGCGGGCUUAACACAUGCAAGUCGAACGGAAAGGCCCUGCUUUUGUGUGGUGCUCGAGUGGCGAACGGGUGUGUAACCCGUGAGUCACCUGGCCUUGACGUUGGGAUGACUUCAGGAAACUGGGGCUAAUACCGGCUAGGAGCUCCUGCUGCAUGGGGGGGGUUGGAAAGUUUCGGCGGUUGGGGAUGGACGCGCGGGUUAUCAGCUUGUUGGUGGGGUAGUGGCUUACCAAGGCUUUGACGGGUAGCCGGCAUGGGAGCGUGGACGGCGACAUUGGGACUGAGAUACGGAGCAGACUCCUACGGGGGGCAGCAGUGGAGAAUAUUGCACAAUGAGCGGAAGCCUGAGGCAGAAACGCCGCGUGCGGGAAGACGGCCUUCGGGUUGUAAACCGCUUUCGCCUGUGACGAAGCGUGAGUGACGGUAAUGGGUAAAGAAGCACCGGCUAACUACGUG
RNAcentral lists this ribosomal RNA (468 nucleotides) under uncultured bacterium. RNAcentral describes it as "partial 16S ribosomal RNA". It matches the Rfam family "Bacterial small subunit ribosomal RNA", at positions 28 to 507 of the family's 1533-position model. The record is from RNAcentral.